GGAGUAUGCUGGCGUUGGCCAAAAUGUUCAUUCCAAUUUUUCUGUACCAUCUUACAGAAAAACCCGAACGAACUUUUUGGCUAACCCAAUAGUAAAUACCC
Molecule: microRNA precursor, 101 nt
Organism: Bos indicus x Bos taurus (hybrid cattle)
Lineage: Eukaryota; Metazoa; Chordata; Mammalia; Artiodactyla; Bovidae
Source: Ensembl